RNAcentral lists this ribosomal RNA (301 nucleotides) under uncultured bacterium. Its description in RNAcentral is "partial 16S ribosomal RNA". It matches the Rfam family "Bacterial small subunit ribosomal RNA", at positions 509 to 807 of the family's 1533-position model. The record is from RNAcentral.
CAGCAGCCACGGGAAUACAGAGGGUGCAAGCGUUAAUCGGAAUUACUGGGCGUAAAGCGCGCGUAGGUGGUUUGUUAAGUUGGAUGUGAAAGCCCCGGGCUCAACCUGGGAACUGCAUCCAAAACUGGCAAGCUAGAGUACGGUAGAGGGUGGUGGAAUUUCCUGUGUAGCGGUGAAAUGCGUAGAUAUAGGAAGGAACACCAGUGGCGAAGGCGACCACCUGGACUGAUACUGACACUGAGGUGCGAAAGCGUGGGGAGCAAACAGGAUUAGAUACCCCAGUAGUCCCUGUCUCUUAUAC